AUUGAACGCUGGCGGCAUGCUUUACACAUGCAAGUCGAACGGUAACAGGCCUUCGGGUGCUGACGAGUGGCGCACGGGUGAGUAAUGCAUCGGAACGUACCCAGAGGUGGGGGAUAACGCAGCGAAAGCUGUGCUAAUACCGCAUGUGAUCUGAGGAUGAAAGCGGGGGACCGAGCAGCAAUGUUUGGCCUCGCGCCUUUGGAGCGGCCGAUGUCGGAUUAGCUAGUUGGUGGGGUAAAGGCCUACCAAGGCGACGAUCCGUAGCUGGUCUGAGAGGACGACCAGCCACACUGGGACUGAGACACGGCCCAGACUCCUACGGGAGGCAGCAGUGGGGAAUUUUGGACAAUGGGCGCAAGCCUGAUCCAGCAAUGCCGCGUGCGGGAAGAAGGCCUUCGGGUUGUAAACCGCUUUUGGCAGGAACGAAACGGUGUCCGCUAAUACCGGGCGCUAAUGACGGUACCUGCAGAAUAAGCACCGGCUAACUACGUG
RNAcentral lists this ribosomal RNA (492 nucleotides) under uncultured bacterium. Its description in RNAcentral is "partial 16S ribosomal RNA". It matches the Rfam family "Bacterial small subunit ribosomal RNA", at positions 29 to 507 of the family's 1533-position model. The record is from RNAcentral.